Molecule: ribosomal RNA, 403 nt
Filed under: uncultured bacterium
Lineage: Bacteria
Description: bacterial SSU rRNA
Rfam family: Bacterial small subunit ribosomal RNA
Source: RNAcentral
UGUACCAUACGAAUAAGGAUCGGCUAACUCCGUGCCAGCAGCCGCGGUAAUACGGAGGAUCCGAGCGUUAUCCGGAUUUAUUGGGUUUAAAGGGAGCGUAGGCGGACUAUUAAGUCAGCUGUGAAAGUUUGCGGCCCAACCGUAAAAUUGCAGUUGAUACUGGUCGUCUUGAGUGCAGUAGAGGUAGGCGGAAUUCGUGGUGUAGCGGUGAAAUGCUUAGAUAUCACGAAGAACUCCGAUUGCGAAGGCAGCUUACUGGACUGUAACUGACGCUGAUGCUCGAAAGUGUGGGUAUCAAACAGGAUUAGAUACCCUGGUAGUCCACACAGUAAACGAUGAAUACUCGCUGUUUGCGAUAUACAGCAAGCGGCCAAGCGAAAGCAUUAAGUAUUCCACCUGGGGA